AUUUAAGUAAUUUAAUAUAAAAAUAUUGAUUUGUGGGGUCAAAUAUAUGGCAAAUUCCAUCUUAGAUA
RNAcentral lists this transfer RNA (68 nucleotides) under Tagiades vajuna. RNAcentral's name for it is "tRNA-His". Lineage: Eukaryota; Metazoa; Arthropoda; Insecta; Lepidoptera; Hesperiidae. The record is from RNAcentral.